This 253-nucleotide ribosomal RNA is filed under the name uncultured bacterium. RNAcentral's name for it is "partial 16S ribosomal RNA". It matches the Rfam family "Bacterial small subunit ribosomal RNA", at positions 524 to 776 of the family's 1533-position model. The record is from RNAcentral.
UACAGAGGUUUCAAGCGUUGUUCGGAUUCAUUGGGCGUAAAGGGUGCGUAGGCGGCGCGGUAAGUCGGGUGUGAAAUCUUGGAGCUUAACUCCGAAACUGCAUUCGAUACUGCCGUGCUUGAGGACUGGAGAGGAGACUGGAAUUUACGGUGUAGCGGUGAAAUGCGUAGAUAUCGGAAGGAACAUCAGUGGCGAAAGCGGCUUCCUGGACCAGUACCGACGUUCAGGCACGAAAGCGUGGGGAGCAAACAGG